AUUGAACGCUGGCGGCAUGCCUUACACAUGCAAGUCGAACGGCAGCACGGGGGCAACCCUGGUGGCGAGUGGCGAACGGGUGAGUAACACAUCGGAACGUGUCCUGUUGUGGGGGAUAACCAGUCGAAAGACUGGCUAAUACCGCAUGAGCUGGAGACAGGAAAGCGGGGGACCUGAAAGGGCCUCGUGCGAUUGGAGCGGCCGAUGUCCGAUUAGCUAGUUGGGGGGUAAAGGCCCACCAAGGCGACGAUCGGUAGCUGGUCUGAGAGGAUGAUCAGCCACACUGGGACUGAGACACGGCCCAGACUCCUACGGGAGGCAGCAGUGGGGAAUUUUGGACAAUGGGGGCAACCCUGAUCCAGCCAUGCCGCGUGAGUGAAGAAGGCCU
This 388-nucleotide ribosomal RNA is filed under the name uncultured bacterium. Its description in RNAcentral is "bacterial SSU rRNA". It matches the Rfam family "Bacterial small subunit ribosomal RNA", at positions 29 to 417 of the family's 1533-position model. The record is from RNAcentral.